RNAcentral lists this ribosomal RNA (458 nucleotides) under uncultured bacterium. Its description in RNAcentral is "partial 16S ribosomal RNA". It matches the Rfam family "Bacterial small subunit ribosomal RNA", at positions 338 to 795 of the family's 1533-position model. The record is from RNAcentral.
CCUACGGGUGGCAGCAGUGAGGAAUAUUGGUCAAUGGGCGAGAGCCUGAACCAGCCAAGUCGCGUGAGGGAGUACUGCCCUAUGGGUUGUAAACCUCUUUUGUCGGGGAGCAAGAGCCGGACGUUGCCGGCUGUGAGAGUACCCGAAGAAAAAGCAUCGGCUAACUCCGUGCCAGCAGCCGCGGUAUUACGGAGGAUGCGCGCGUUAUCCGGGUUUUUUGGGUUUAAAGGGUGCGCAGGCGGAUUUUUAAGUCAGCGGUAACAUCGUGGGGCUCAACCCCAUCCAGCCGUUGAAACUGGGGAUCUAGAGUGUGCGAGAGGUAUGCGGAAUGCGUGGUGUAGCGGUGAAAUGCAUAGAUAGCACGCAGAACCCCGAUUGCGAAGGCAGCCUACCGGUGCACAACUGACGCUCAGGCACGAAAGCGUGGGUAUCGAACAGGAUUAGAUACCCCGGUAGUC